UGAGCUGGUCGCAAGACCCAGGUUCAACCUAACAGGCGUGGGAGACUCCC
Molecule: non-coding RNA, 50 nt
Filed under: unclassified sequences
Description: DUF3800-XI RNA
Rfam family: DUF3800-XI RNA
About the family: Actinobacteria, Firmicutes, Proteobacteria, Spirochaetes (1 example). Nearby to DUF3800
Source: Rfam by way of RNAcentral